GGAGUUAUAGUCAACUAUGACAUUUGAUUUGCACUCAAAAAGUGCUCUCUUUUGAGCUAACUUCA
RNAcentral lists this transfer RNA (65 nucleotides) under Trachypenaeus curvirostris. RNAcentral's name for it is "tRNA-Ala". The record is from RNAcentral. Lineage: Eukaryota; Metazoa; Arthropoda; Malacostraca; Decapoda; Penaeidae.